CUGAUGGAGGCCCUGCCUGGUGGAGGAUUCCUGUUGUUGGACCAUGAAUCUGUCUGAAGAGAGCUGGUGGAGGAGCUGAGAAGCUGUAAGACGAUUAGGAAUUUACCAACAAGGAUUCCUCACGUUGGGGCCAGAUUUGAGCUGUUUGUUCCAGACCAGGACUCUGGCUGAGGAGCGCUGAUAGAGGAGCCAAGACUCUGGAGGACGACAUCACUCUAUCAACAAGGAUCCUCGUUAGUUUGCAUAAAGUAAACGGAUCGCCUUGUUGUAACGCAGGAUUAGUUUGUCCAGUAGUUGAGUUAAGGCAUACUACUGUUGUUGGUUACCAGACAAACUACAGCUGCUAUUUUGUUACGCGUAAUUAAAGCCCACCUACUCUUGUGUUUGUUACCUUACAUUAAAGCCCACCUACUCCUGUGUUUGUUACCUUACAUUAGAGCCCACCUACUCCUGUG
Molecule: long non-coding RNA, 455 nt
Organism: Gadus morhua (Atlantic cod)
Lineage: Eukaryota; Metazoa; Chordata; Actinopteri; Gadiformes; Gadidae
Exons: 3
Source: RefSeq, a predicted model, not a curated record